RNAcentral lists this long non-coding RNA (9940 nucleotides) under Gossypium barbadense (sea-island cotton). RNAcentral's name for it is "long non-coding RNA (GBAR_LNC020423)". The record is from RNAcentral. Lineage: Eukaryota; Viridiplantae; Streptophyta; Magnoliopsida; Malvales; Malvaceae.
CUCAUCAGCUAAAACACCAUGGAAGGGCUUCUUCAAGCUGGUUCUUCAUAUUUUUAUUACAAGUAAGUUCAAUUCUUGACUAUUUCUUGAAAUUUUUGUAUUUUUAUGACCUUUACAACUAGGCCCACUUGUUAAAUUCAUUAGUUUUUGAUUUUAUGAAAGAAGUUGAAAGUUGAUAUGAAUAUGUUCUGGAAUUAUAUGAUGAUUUAGCAUGAAAUUAGAGCUUUAAAUUGUUCAUAUGCUGAUUUUAUUGAAAGAAUUAAAUAGAAAGUGAAUGUUUGGGACUUAAUAGUAAAAGAGUUUGAAGAUAGAGUUAUAUGUGGAAAUUCUGAAUUUCAAUAGUUGUGUAACAACUUAUAAUAUCUAGGUAAAGUAUUAAUUGAGAAAAUUAGAUUAAUUGAGGGGUUAAUUGAGAAAGGACCGAAUUGUAUAAACUGUGAAAUUUGGGGCAAAAUGGAAAUCAACAUUUUGCACUAAAGCUGUUUUGGACAGCAGCAGUAGUGUAACUUUGAAAAAUCACAAAAAAUUGUAGAGAUUGAAUUAUAGGAUGAAUAAAAUAUGAAACUAAAGCUUAUUGAGUCUAGUUUCUUAUAAAAGAAACGGUGUGAGUAAUGGAAUUGUAAAUCAUGAGAUAUAAUAGAUUUUGUGAGACAAGGUCAGAAUGAAUUCGGAUUCCCCUGUUCUGACUUUGGGAAAUCAUUAAAAAUUGUACAAAAAUGAUUAUGAGUUAUAAUUUAUAUGGUUAGAAUCCUUAAUGAGUCUAUUUUUAGAAGAAAUAAACAAAAACAUCAUCCGAAUUCUGUACAAUGAGAUAAUUAAUUUUUAGUGAAGAGUGGUCGGAACUGUCAGACAGCGAAAUAGGGGAAAAUUUAAAGAAUAAACUGUACUAUUUGGCUAAACCAAAAAUUCUGAAAAUUUUAUGGUAUGAAGAUAUGCGAGUCUAGUUUCAGAGAAAAUUAACGGAUCUUAAUUUGGAACUCUGUAGCUCCGGAUAAAAAUAAUUUAGUGACUCUGACUCAGACGGACAGCUUGAAUUUUACAUACAAGAAAAUAGUGAAAGUAUGAAUAAUGUUGUUUAAAUGUGUUAUACACAUUAAGGAUGAGGAAUGGAGAGGAGGUGGAGGAAAAAUUUGGAAAUAUAUGAAUGAUUUGUGUAUAAUUGGUCAUAUGUUUGAUUAUAAUUGAUAGAUGAUGAAAUAGAAAUGAUGCUUACAUUUGUGCAUUAUUGGACAUGGUUUAAGCUCAUGUGUGAAAAUAAAGUUUCAUAGCAUGUGUGUCUGGUAUAUUCGGUAUAUGAUUUGGCAUGAAAUAAUGUCAUGAAUGGUUUAUCAUGUGGUUAGUUCCAAAAAGAGUUAUGUUUCAAUACACUAACUUGCAACUAUGGUUGAAUGAUAUGUUUAUAUUUUGUGUGAUGUGCAUAGGAAACAAGUGUGGAAAGAUAAUGAAAUAGUAAGUUCAUAUGGCUGAAAUUUAAUGGUUAAAUGUUAAUUUCAUGAAUUAUAUAAUGUAUGAUGAAAUAUUUUUAUUGUUGAAAUGAGAAUAAAAUAAAAGUGCGAAAGCUGAAUAAAUGAUCAAAUUGAGCGGAACGCCGGAUUUGAGUACUUCUGAUCAAGUGACAAAGUGAUAAGUGGUAGCUUUAGCUACACUUAUCUGAUCAAGAACAAGUGAUAAGCGGUGACAAAGUGAUAAGUGGUAGCAUUAGCUACACUUAUCUGAUCAAGUGAGAAAGUGAUAAGUGGUAGCCUUAGCUACACUUAUCUGAUCAAGUGACAAAGUGAUAAGUGUUAGCCUUAGCUACACUUAUCUGAUCAAGUGAGAAAGUGAUAAGUGGUAGCCUAGCUACACUUAUCUGAUCAGGGACAAGUGAUAAGUGAUCAUAUGUAAGACCAUAGUUAUACUAUGGCAAAGUGAAAGUGAAGUACUCAAUUUUCCGUAACCGUUCCCUAAUUUGAUUAAGGAUGGUAAGUGACAAUGGGCCCAAAAGAAUUAAAGUAAAUGGAUAAGUGGUAGUGUAUUUAUAUCAGGACGAUGUUGUUAUUCAAGCUAAAGUGAUAUUUUCAUUGCAAAAUUGAGAAUUUCAUAAAUGUGUUAUUGAAUGGUGUAAUGAAUAAACAUCGAGUUAAAUGGUAAAUACGUAUUAGUGUUGAACUUGAUGUCAUUGAAUUGUACGUGAAUUAAAUGGAAAUUGCUAGUGAUAUGAUCUAAAUUGUGAGCAUGAGAAAUUGCGAAUUGAAGGAAAUGGAAAUGAAGCAUUGAAUUGCAUGAGAAUGUAUCGGGUCUCGUAAGCCCUAAUUAUUAUGAUUAUAACAUUUUGAGGAUAUACUGUGAAAAGUUAUAGGAGCAUGUUAAUUAUUUUGAAAGUUUUAAUUUAGAUGAAAUUUUAUAACUCGGUUAAAUACGUUUACAAGUGCAUGUGUUUUGGUAAUGCCUCGUACCCUAUUCCGGUAUUGAAUACGGGUAAGGGGUGUUACACUCUUUGGGUCCUUGAUAAUUUUGAAAAUGUGCAAAUUGGUACCUUUCAAAGAGAAAAUAAAAAAAAAUCAAAAUAAUAUUCUAAAAUUCAAAUAUUUAUACAAUAUUGUUUUCCAAAGUUUUAUAAAUAUAUAUAAAUUAAAAAGAUUAUUAAAAAUCUAAAAAUAUAUAAAAAUGUUAAUUUAUAUAUUUUUAAAAUUUUCAAGAUAUAAAUUUGAGGCAUUAAAUAAAUAAAUUAUCAAUUCAAGUUUAUCAUACUAAUUACUUUAUGUUGUUUUAAAAGAAUUUAAUCAUAUUGUCAACGAGAUUUUAAUAUAACCAAUUUAAUUUUUUUUAAUUUAACUUAGAACAAAUUUAUUCGAUUCGACUCAAUUCGAAUUGCAUUUCACUCGAUUUAAUAAAAAAAUUAAUCAAUUUAAAAAAAUAAAAUAAAACUCGUUUACUCGACUAACUUAAAAUUUCUUAAUGUUCACCCUUAUUAGGAAGGCACAUAUAUGAGUGACAAAAGCUUGAAUAUCAACUUAUGAGCAUAGUCUAAUGGUUGGCAUGGUUAUUAGUUGCUCUUAAAAGUCGCAUAAUCUAUUGAUUGACAUUGUUAUUGGUUGACUUAUAAUAGUGAGGAAUAGUGUAAUGGUUGUUCAUUUCGUUACUUAGCCAUAAGUUUAGGAUUCUUACUCAUUUUGAAGAGCACCGACCAAAAAAUUCACAUAGCUAGCGAGAGUUGACUUUGGUGCUAUAUCACUAGAUUUUUAGCCUCCUAAUGAUUUCCCAUCUCCUGUUUAGAGAGACGCAUUAAAAGUGUAAUUAUACACAAUAGGACAACAAUAUAUAGUGGAUAUUCUAACAGGAAAAGUCUCAUCUUUCUAGAAUGUCUCUCCCGCUGCCGGAGUAAAUGCACCAUUGCCAGCAGCGAAGUAAAGCACGCAUCGGUUUCCGGUGCCAUGUUUAAUGUGUCCACAAGCAUUAUAGGUUCUGGAAUUACAUUGUCAUAAUUCCAGUCAUUGUUACAGCUUUCACAUUCCAUUUCAAUGCUGAAGAACACUUUGACCUCAUAAAUUGUUGUUGUAUACUUGUAUGGAAGUUACGUUUAUGCCUCGGUUUCGAGAUGGAUAAACUUUCCUAUAUAAUAUCAACGGUCCGAAUAUCAUCGGUCAUAUAUGCUGCCAUCUACUUCACUAUAGAAAAGCCGCACUACACAGUCUAAUACUUGAGUGAACAUGUAAAGGAAACAAAGCCAAUGCCACAAUGUGUGAAAAUUUGAAUUUCAUUGUCGAAUCCUUUUUUUUAAAUCAAUGGUUUUAAAACAAACGAAAAAUGAGAGUCGCUACCAAUCCUUUUUUACUUAGGUGUGAUCGGAUCUCCUCGUAAUUCAAUCAUUUUAAUAAAAGUUUAAAUUUACUAAAACGAUGAUUCUUGGUCUACAAAAUCCAGAAAAUGGGUUCGAGAGUCGGUUACGCACGAGGAAGGAUUAGCACCCUUGUAACGCCCAAAAUUGAUACCUAGUUGACUAAUUAAAGUCUUAGUGUCGUGAAUCAAAAAUUUGAACAAGUUUAAAAUACGAUCCUCUUUACAUUAAGGCACUAUCUAACUAGAAUAAUUUUCGCGAAAAGGGUUCAUUUCAAGUUAAUCGAGAAAAAAGAUCGCUUCCCGUAAGAGGACACCAUGCCUUAAAUCCUCGAGAACGAACACUAAAAUCUUAUUUUUAUUUAUUUUAAGAUAGAUAUUCGACCAUCUCAGGUUUAGAAUGAAGCCAUAUCCCGUAAGUUAGGAACAUGACCUUUCUAAUUCCAAAAUAAUGAAUAUUUACGUCGUUUUAAAAAUUUUCCUUUUUGUGCCUUGUGCAAAAAACUAAUGUAAUACUUAAAGUAAUGUACUUUUAACUUGUUUGGGCAUAAGGUAAAUGAAUGAAUAUAUAACGGCAUUGUAAUUAACAAAAUAAAAUGAAGCUGUGAUUAAAUGAUAUCAUGAUAAUAAAUAAAUAAUAAAAAAUCUAAAAAUGUCAUGCUUAGCGAAUAAUGCUAACGCGACAUCAAUUUGUGGUAAUAAUGGCAAAAUUCGCAUAAUAAAAUAUAAAAGUAUAAUAGUAAUAAUAAAUCAUAAUACUAAUAUGCAUAAUAGAAUAAUAAUAUUAAUAAUAUUAAUAAUAAUAAUCUAAUUUUUUUGAAAGUUAAAAGCAGUAAAUAAAUAAGUAAUAAAUAAUAGAAUAAUAAUAACAAUAAUAAAGGCAAAAAAAAUCACAAUAAAUACAAAAAUAAACCGAAUUUAAAAAAAAGAAAUGAUAAGUAAAUAAAUAAAAUAAAAAUACAUAAAAAUAAAAAUCUAGACAGGGUCGAAAUUAAAUAAAAGGAUUACAUUGACAUUAAAGUGAAAUUAAGAGUCUAAAUCAAAAUAAAACAAGUUCAUGAAUAUAAGAGAGACUAAAUUGAAACCUAAAUAAACUUUUAGGGGAGAAAUCGAGAUAAAAAUAAAAUAAAGGACUAAAUUGUAACGCUAUAAAAAAGAAUAGGGGCUGCAAGGGAAAAUAUCCCGACCUUCCUUAUGCCCACCGUUUUAAAGGACCAAAAUAAAAAAAUUAAAUGGGAUAAAUUUAAAAAACAAAAAAAGAAAUAGGGCUAUAUUGCAAAGUGUGUAAAUAUCAGAAGGACCAAAAGCGGAAUUAGACCCCCUAAAGCAAAACACUAAUACAAUAUACAUAUGCCAAAAAUCGAUACCAUUGAUUGCAAACCGGGCUAAUCUAGAAGCUGCAAUUCUUUUAAACAAGGGAUCCUUAAUAUGCAAAAGUGACACAGACUUGUGCAUCAACUAAUCUCUUGCAAGUACAUAUAGGUUUUGUAUAUAGUUCAAUACAAAGAAUCUUGAGUUUGGUAUAAUAAACAGUAAUAGUGAACUGAUCUUGAGAUAACUUGGAGAGAUUCUUGCGAAAGAUUAGAGAUAUUCCAAUGAAACAAUCUUCAAGAUUCUUCCAAAUAUCGAAAGCGGAAUCACAAUCCAAGAUGCUGGGGGCUAUUGCUUUGCAUACAGAGUUCUUGAUCUAAGGAAAAACCAUGUGAUUCGAUAUUGUCCAGGCACGAAGUGAUGAAACCAAGCUUGUUCUUGGCAGAAAAUGCCAUCAAAAUCCAACGUUUCCAGGUGUCAUAGUUUAAAGCCGUGGGAGGUUGAAAAAUGAGCUAUAGAUCGGGAUUGUUAGAUUGAAGGAGGUAAUAUGGAUUGCUUUCAUGAAAAAGAAAAUCAGCCGUAGUAGAAAAAGAUUGAAAAGGAACUGUUUGGAUGCCAAGAAAAAAGAUAAAGAAAAUUAAACUAAUCAGAGAGUAGAUUUCCAACAAGGUAAAAAAAUAGAGGAACAUUGCAUGUAAUGAAAUUUAUAGCUCAUUCGACAAGAAGUAACAGAAAUAAGGCCUCCUAGGACAAAAUUUGCCUUUUAGAAAACAUCAUUAAACUAUCUUUUCCAGGUUUUUGUUACAUCUCAUAAGACUUCGGUUUGGUCAUAAAAAGGAAGGGAAAGCAACUAUAUGUGAAUUUAACUAUCAUAAAAACAAAAGGAAAGCAUUUAAAGAUUGAAGAUGGAUCCAGCUUGGUCUCCCAUUAAUGGCAACAGGUGAAAAGCCUUCUCAUUUGCCUCACCGAAAAAUUUGAACAGUCGAUAUCCUUGGAAACAAAUUCUCUCUAUUUCCUGUCCACAAGAACAUUCACGAACCGUCAUCAAACAUGCAAGUGAGCACGAUAAUAAUGUUUGGAAAACAAAUACAUAUGAACAUUAUCAGCUUUCAACUGACCUUCCACUCUUGGCUGAUGGGGGAAUUAGGCCUCUUUUCUCUAAGCUUUUAAAUCUAUCUCUUGCAAGUGUAGCACAACCCUUUAUGCAACAUACAAAAACCACAAUGGAGAAAGUUAAUUUUCAUUACCUAAGAGUAAAAGAAUUUGAUGUUAAAAAGGAUGUCAAACGACGUUACCUUUAGCUUACGGAGAGAUCCAGUAAGUUCUUCGGAUAAGAGGACUUGUGGGGGAGCAGGCUGGAAUCUGGAAUUAUAAACAAUACAGAUCAAUCGGGCAUAUGAAAAUGUACUGCAUUAUCUUCAGCUCAUUCAAUGCAAUAUGUGAAAUCGAACAUUCAGAUGGAAAACAUUUCAAAAGCCAAGGUGUUGGACAAGCCUUACGUCUUUCUUGCUUAAAAAAAUGAGAACUUUAUAUGUUUGCAUACUUAAAAAAAUGAGAACUUAAAAAAAUGCUUGCAUACUUAUAUUUCCCUAAGCGUGGUGGACAAGACUUAAGUCUUUCUUGCUUAGCUAUGGCCUUUCGAAGAUGCCUCUUUUGCUUCUCCUCAUCCUCUUUGGCUAUUUCUUGUAAAAUAUCUGGCAAGCUGCAUCGAGAAGAACCAACAGGUGAUGAACAUAUGUUCUGCAAUAAGUAGAUUAUACAUAUAGUAGAGACAAAGCUGAAAUGUACUUGUCAAUGUCUUUGGAAAACUCCACUGCCUUUUUAGUUUCAGCUUCUUUUUUUUGCUGUUCUUUCCUUCUAGCUCUCUUAUUUAACUCGACUCGAGUCACCCUCUUUGUUUUAAGAGGCCUGCAGCAUGAUAGAAGCAAAAAUUAACAUGCAAAUAAAGUGUUCCCCGAUAUUGAGUUCCUUAAGCUCUUGGGAAACCCCAAAAGAUAGCCACGCACAUAGGAAUGCUGGUUAGAGAUUACAGAACUUUGAGUCCCAUCUUCUCACAUAACCCUAAAACCCCAUAUUUCCCGAGGCAAAAAGAUGUAGUAACAAAUACACAAGGAAUUACAACAACAGCGAUACUAAAAUAGACUAACCUUUUCUCAGUUGCUUUAUCAUCCUCACUCAAAUUCUCCUCGUCCAUUUGGUCGUCAUUUCCAUCAUCUGCUUCAAUAAAGUAUUUCUAACAAAAGAAGAUGGUUUAGAGUUUCAUAACCACAACUUAUUAGUGUUUAGGAUUGCAAGUAUGAAGAAUAAUUAGUACAUGAAUGUAACAAAUAGACACUCACAUCAUCUUCAUCAACCACUUCUCCCAUAACAGUUAAUGGAACCGGCUGAGGUCCCAACUCGAUCUUGUAGGCCUUUUGCAUUUCUUCAGCAACCGCUUGAGCCAACGAAUCCUGAUGACUAUCAAAUGUGGGAUUGUAUGAACAUCCCGGAGGCUCAACUUCAACUGCUGGAAUAAUCGAUUGUUUAGAUACCUGUCUAGCUUUGCCACUAUGUUGACCUGAAAGUCCAUAAAGAGAAUCAAAUUCACCAUGAGGAAAAAAAAGCUCAAAACUUUAAAACUUCUAAACAAGGGAUAUUACCUUCAUCUCCCCAUAUAGGAACCAUACCAGAGUCAGGGACGGUUUCAUCCUACAACCAAAACAAAUCAACAAUCAAAUACUUAUUAAUAAAAAGGGAUAAGUAUCAAAACCAUACAUGAACUUUGAUGCAAUGUGUAAUCACUAACAACAUUAUAUAAUUGGCACCAUUUUCCGUUGAUAUAUUGCAUGCACAAAUAAUUACAUUAAAAUCCAACAUGAAAAAUCAUGUAUACAUAUGAACAAUUCAAGUUUCAUGUAUAUAAUUGCACACAAAUCAAAAUUCAUGUAUCAAAUGACAAAUUGGACCAAAGUUCUCACCUUGGGAACAUCUUGAACUACAUCUUUAGCAUUCAAAGCUUCCUUCUUUUUCUUCUUAGAACUCUUUUGCUUCGAAGAUGGUACAGCUUCAACAAAAGGGUUCUUCUUCAACAUACUAUCCACACGCAAUACCUUUUCUCUUUUCUUCUCAAUCUUUUUUUUCACAGAAAGAUCUGAUAAAACAAAGAAACCCCAAUUAACAAAACUGAAUUACAAUUAAGAAAAAAACAAAACAAAACAAAAAGGGUGUUAUGUAUUUAAAAAAAAAAAGACCUUGAGAUUUGUCGAUGAAGAAGAGAGAUUCAGUAGGAGCUGAAGUAAGAGAACCACCAGAGAGAGCAUCUUUAGUGGAUUUCUCGAAGAAAUCAUGGAUGUCUUCUGUGCUUAUGUUAGCUCUCCAUGCUUUUUUACCCUUUCUUGAGGUUUUUGAUUUCUUCCCCAUUUUUUUCCUGGUUAGGAGGGUGGCUUCGCGGCUGUGGAGUUAAAAGGAAGGAGACCGACGAAACAGAGGGUUUUUGCAUAAGCUGUUUGGUUUUCGUGUUUUAAAACGAUGUCGAGUUGUUUGAUUUUGGUAAAAUUCUAAUUUUGGUUCCUCUAUAAUGUUAACCAUUGAAAUUGAGUCUCUAUAUUGUAAUUUUACAUAACUUCUCCCUUAUUUUUAUAAUUUCAUUAGCUAGUGUAAUUAUUAAAUUUGUCCUUAGUUUCUCUACUUUAAUUUAUCAGGAUUUGGUUCUCGUACUUUAUGAAAAUCAAGAUGUUAGUCUAAUUGGGUGACACUUAUAAACAUUGACGUUAAAUUGGUGACUUGAAAACCAACGGUUCAACAAUUUAUCUGCACUGAAUUUGUAAUAAAAAAUAGAUAUUAAACAAUUUAUUUGCAACAAAUUAAUAAAAAUAAAUAUUUCAAGUCUAUAUGUUUACCAACAAAUUGACUAACUUCUUAGUUUUAGUAAAAUAUAAGGACUAAAUUAUGAAAAAUUAAAGUAAAGAGACUAACUUUUCAUUUUUUAAAUAGAGGGAUGAAAUUUGUAAUAAAAUUGUCAUGAGCUAGUUGAAAUAAUUUAAAAAAAACACUCUUCUAACAUGUUAGGGUGAUAUUGAUUUUAAAAAAAUUCAAGUCAAGAUUUUAAUUAAAAUAGUUAAUAAUGUUAACUAUUUAAAUUAAAUAAUAACAUUAUAAAAAUUAACAAUCCCAAAUUAAAGUAUAAAAAUCAAAUUUCAAAUUUGAACAUAACAAAGGGACUAAACCAUAAUUUGACCCUUAAUUUAUUCUCUUUACGGCGGGCCCUAUUUAAAACAUAAUGCAGGUAAGUUCAGCCCAUUGAAAAUAAACCUACGAAGAAUUUAAGCCCAAAUCAAAAUAGUUGGCCAGUUGCUGCACUUCAUACUAUCUUAUAUAUAACUUACAUAAAAAAGAACAGAAAUAGCUGAAGAUGAUUAAACUACCUACCAGUAAUGUCCAAAUAGUUGCUGCUUUUUUGUGUUGAUGGUGAUCCAUUUCUGUGAUGAAGUAUUCAUGUAAAUUUAUUACAUCCACUGCUAAUUGCUUGAGUUCCUACAUGAUGCAUGUUCUCAAUGGGGUUGUCUUUGCUUUUCUUCUCUUGUUGUGUGGCUACUAUCAGUUUUAACACUGCUUUCAUCACCUUCUAAAUUCAACCACUGUUUAAUGCCUUUUCAGUCUUCUUCUUUCACUGUCCUUGAAAACCCUAAACUGAAAUAUCAGUCCAACGUUACGAAGUAACAACAUCAUCAUUGUUGCAGUCAAUCUUGAAGUUGUUGAAAAUGGCUCCCUAAACAAAUUUUCUAUUGGCAAAUUGAUUUCUCUCUCGAUAAAUAUGCAGAAGUGAGGCUUCUUA